Molecule: ribosomal RNA, 438 nt
Filed under: uncultured bacterium
Lineage: Bacteria
Description: bacterial SSU rRNA
Rfam family: Bacterial small subunit ribosomal RNA
Source: RNAcentral
CCUACGGGAGGCAGCAGUCGGGAAUAUUGCGCAAUGGAGGAAACUCUGACGCAGUGACGCCGCGUGCAGGAAGAAGGUUUUCGGAUUGUAAACUGCUUUAGAUAGGGAAGAAAAAAAUGACAGUACCUAUAGAAUAAGCUCCGGCUAACUACGUGCCAGCAGCCGCGGUAAUACGUAGGGAGCGAGCGUUAUCCGGAUUUAUUGGGUGUAAAGGGUGCGUAGAUGGAUAAACAAGUUGGUUGUGAAAUCCCUCGGCUUAACUGAGGAAUUGCAACCAAAACUGUAGAUCUUGAGUACUGGAGGGGAAAGCGGAAUUCCUAGUGUAGCGGUGAAAUGCGUAGAUAUUAGGAAGAACACCGGUGGCGAAGGCGGCUUUCUGGACAGAAACUGACAUUGAGGCACGAAAGUGUGGGGAGCAAACAGGAUUAGAUACCCUGG